Molecule: transfer RNA, 75 nt
Filed under: Tridentiger bifasciatus (Shimofuri goby)
Lineage: Eukaryota; Metazoa; Chordata; Actinopteri; Gobiiformes; Gobiidae
Description: tRNA-Lys
Rfam family: tRNA
About the family: Transfer RNA (tRNA) molecules are approximately 80 nucleotides in length. Their secondary structure includes four short double-helical elements and three loops (D, anti-codon, and T loops). Further hydrogen bonds mediate the characteristic L-shaped molecular structure. tRNAs have two regions of fundamental functional importance: the anti-codon, which is responsible for specific mRNA codon recognition, and the 3' end, to which the tRNAs corresponding amino acid is attached (by aminoacyl-tRNA synthetases). tRNAs cope with the degeneracy of the genetic code in two manners: having more than one tRNA (with a specific anti-codon) for a particular amino acid; and 'wobble' base-pairing, i.e. permitting non-standard base-pairing at the 3rd anti-codon position.
Source: RNAcentral
CGCCAAGAAGCUAAACUGGAACAAAGCGCCAGCCUUUUAAGCUGGAAAAUGGUGCCUUCCAACCACCCUUAGCGA